RNAcentral lists this unclassified non-coding RNA (209 nucleotides) under uncultured fungus. RNAcentral's name for it is "partial contains 18S rRNA, ITS1, 5.8S rRNA, ITS2 and 28S rRNA". The record is from RNAcentral. Lineage: Eukaryota; Fungi.
AAGGAUCAUUACCGAGUAUUGGGUCUUCGGGCCCGCACUCCAACCCUCUGUGUACCAAACUUUGUUGCUUUGGCGGGCCCGCGGUGUCAUGCCGCAGCCGGCUCUUGCUGGCCAGUGCCCGCCAGAGAACCGUUAAACUCUUGUUUAAACAGCGUCGUCUGAGCAAAAUUUAAUAAUUAAAACUUUCAACAACGGAUCUCUUGGUUCUG